This 1577-nucleotide ribosomal RNA is filed under the name Lactiplantibacillus plantarum. RNAcentral describes it as "partial 16S ribosomal RNA". It matches the Rfam family "Bacterial small subunit ribosomal RNA". Lineage: Bacteria; Bacillati; Bacillota; Bacilli; Lactobacillales; Lactobacillaceae. The record is from RNAcentral.
AGACGAACGCGGGCGGCGUGCCUAAUACAUGCAAGUCGAACGAACUCUGGUAUUGAUUGGUGCUUGCAUCAUGAUUUACAUUUGAGUGAGUGGCGAACUGGUGAGUAACACGUGGGAAACCUGCCCAGAAGCGGGGGAUAACACCUGGAAACAGAUGCUAAUACCGCAUAACAACUUGGACCGCAUGGUCCGAGCUUGAAAGAUGGCUUCGGCUAUCACUUUUGGAUGGUCCCGCGGCGUAUUAGCUAGAUGGUGGGGUAACGGCUCACCAUGGCAAUGAUACGUAGCCGACCUGAGAGGGUAAUCGGCCACAUUGGGACUGAGACACGGCCCAAACUCCUACGGGAGGCAGCAGUAGGGAAUCUUCCACAAUGGACGAAAGUCUGAUGGAGCAACGCCGCGUGAGUGAAGAAGGGUUUCGGCUCGUAAAACUCUGUUGUUAAAGAAGAACAUAUCUGAGAGUAACUGUUCAGGUAUUGACGGUAUUUAACCAGAAAGCCACGGCUAACUACGUGCCAGCAGCCGCGGUAAUACGUAGGUGGCAAGCGUUGUCCGGAUUUAUUGGGCGUAAAGCGAGCGCAGGCGGUUUUUUAAGUCUGAUGUGAAAGCCUUCGGCUCAACCGAAGAAGUGCAUCGGAAACUGGGAAACUUGAGUGCAGAAGAGGACAGUGGAACUCCAUGUGUAGCGGUGAAAUGCGUAGAUAUAUGGAAGAACACCAGUGGCGAAGGCGGCUGUCUGGUCUGUAACUGACGCUGAGGCUCGAAAGUAUGGGUAGCAAACAGGAUUAGAUACCCUGGUAGUCCAUACCGUAAACGAUGAAUGCUAAGUGUUGGAGGGUUUCCGCCCUUCAGUGCUGCAGCUAACGCAUUAAGCAUUCCGCCUGGGGAGUACGGCCGCAAGGCUGAAACUCAAAGGAAUUGACGGGGGCCCGCACAAGCGGUGGAGCAUGUGGUUUAAUUCGAAGCUACGCGAAGAACCUUACCAGGUCUUGACAUACUAUGCAAAUCUAAGAGAUUAGACGUUCCCUUCGGGGACAUGGAUACAGGUGGUGCAUGGUUGUCGUCAGCUCGUGUCGUGAGAUGUUGGGUUAAGUCCCGCAACGAGCGCAACCCUUAUUAUCAGUUGCCAGCAUUAAGUUGGGCACUCUGGUGAGACUGCCGGUGACAAACCGGAGGAAGGUGGGGAUGACGUCAAAUCAUCAUGCCCCUUAUGACCUGGGCUACACACGUGCUACAAUGGAUGGUACAACGAGUUGCGAACUCGCGAGAGUAAGCUAAUCUCUUAAAGCCAUUCUCAGUUCGGAUUGUAGGCUGCAACUCGCCUACAUGAAGUCGGAAUCGCUAGUAAUCGCGGAUCAGCAUGCCGCGGUGAAUACGUUCCCGGGCCUUGUACACACCGCCCGUCACACCAUGAGAGUUUGUAACACCCAAAGUCGGUGGGGUAACCUUUUAGGAACCAGCCGCCUAAGGUGGGACAGAUGAUUAGGGUGAAGUCGUAACAAGGUAGCCGUAGGAGAACCUGCGGCUGGAUCCCUCCCCUUUUUAAACUGGGAUCACCCUCCUUAUAGUUUGAUCCU